Molecule: long non-coding RNA, 1449 nt
Organism: Anas platyrhynchos (mallard)
Lineage: Eukaryota; Metazoa; Chordata; Aves; Anseriformes; Anatidae
Source: RefSeq, a predicted model, not a curated record
GGGUUUUUGUCAAGCUGCUGCAUUAAUUAAAGUUGGUCCUGCCUAACAAGCAUGUGGGCCUGAGCAAGCUGUGCUAAAGGCCUGGCACAUCCGAAUUUAUUGACCAAUUAAGAAUCCCCUGCAGCUAAUUAAGCUCCCUCAGCUUUUCGGUAUUGGUGUGUUUGCCAUACAGCAGAGCAUGUGCUGGCUGGGGCUAGGAAGGGCUGGUUUUCCACCACCACCACCACGGGCUGCCCUGGUGGGUGCUGGUGGGACCAUGCGAGGCAUGCCCUGUGCCACCAGCUGAGCUGCGUGCCAGAGGGUGGGCAGCACGGUGCUCAUUGUGGUUUGAGCCCUGCAGCAAAUGGGCAACAAGGAGCAAACUUUAUAGGCUGUCUGAAACAUAAGCAGUUGCUGCACUGUGAAAAACAGGGAUUUAAAGGGGAGACAAGUGUGCUGGGACAGCUCUUCAGCUCUGCCUGACAACGUCUCCUAGCUUGCGGCAUGAAAAAUGGGGAUUAUUUCUCCCGGUGCUGGAGAGGGGACAGGGCCCAUAAGUCGCUCAGAGCCGUCCGGACAUGCCGAACUCUGCCCUGUGGCCCGAUAACAUCAGGGCAAAAUACCUGCCAACAAGUCGGCAACAGGAAGCCGUCAGAGUGGGGAAGAAAGCACGAUAGCGUCAUCUCUCUCUGCUCGUAAAAUAACAGCGCUUUUUUUUAACGUGACCCAGGUACUAAGUAGCAAUGCACCAGCCAAGCUGUAAGAGAAGCCUUUGUUUAACAACUGGAAAAAGUGCUUAAAUCACUCAUAAAAUAUUACCCGCGUUUGACAAGUUUAUCUAGCAGUACCGUUGAGAUCCUCAGCAAUGGUGUUUCUGCAGUCAAAAAGGAGCAUUUUAUACGAGGGUGGAUGUGUAAUUAUUUAAAGCAUUAAUAGCAGUUCAGCAGGAUACUCUUGUGCUGUCCGCACUGAAAUUUAACUACUUCUGCACACUGAGCUGCUAGUACCUGGGAGGGCAGGUCAGAGCCAGGCACGAUUUUAGGACGGUGUGGUGUAAAGGACCACGUCUGAAGCUGAAAACAACCAGGAGAGGCAGGAUGCUGGCAGUGCCGUUCUGGAGCAGGCUCCACAUGUCCUGUGGGACCCGCAGCAUUGGGUCCCAGCACGGCCCCACUGCCCUGCAGGGCUCGGUCAGGCAGCAGGGCUCAGGUCCCCAGCUGUGCUCUAUUUGGGGUGACACACAAAAUACAGGUCAUGCUCUGCUGUGAAUUACGGGUCAGAGCUGCACCCAUAAAGGAGUGCAGCUUUAUAAGCAUGGUUUCACGUCAAGCCAUAGGAACUGCUCUGAUCAGCUGGAACUAAAGCCUGAUGUCCCCUCCUGGGGCAGCAAGUGCCAAUAAUUCAGUGGGUCCAUCGCAAGGAGCAUGGAUGAAGAACUGAUACAAAAGAAAUUCUUUUCAUUAUCAAAUC